CGCACAGCCAUUUGGCUUGCUUGAUUGGCUAAAUGAUCGUAUUUAUCCGCAAACACGUCACAAGGCAGACUUUUUAAAAAAGUCUAUUAUCUAGACCCGUUCAAGCCUUACAUUUUUGGCAUAUUUUUUCCCAAGACCUCCAUGUAAAAUAAUAAUUUUAGUUGUUUUAAAGCAAUGCCAACAAGCUAUAAACGUAUACUCACG
Non-coding RNA from Paramuricea clavata, 204 nucleotides. NCBI's taxonomy places the organism in Eukaryota, Metazoa, Cnidaria, Anthozoa, Malacalcyonacea, Plexauridae. The record is from the annotation of a GenBank genome assembly.